This 932-nucleotide ribosomal RNA is filed under the name uncultured bacterium. RNAcentral describes it as "bacterial SSU rRNA". It matches the Rfam family "Bacterial small subunit ribosomal RNA", at positions 8 to 916 of the family's 1533-position model. The record is from RNAcentral.
AGAGUUUGAUCCUGGCUCAGAACGAACGCUGGCGGCGUGCUUAACACAUGCAAGUCGAACGGAAUUAGGGGCUUGCUCCUAAUUUAGUGGCGCACGGGUGAGUAACGCGUGGAUAACCUACCCUGGUAUCUGGGAUAACAUCUCGAAAGGGGUGCUAAUACCGGAUAAGCCCACGGUCUCUUCGGGGAUUGCGGGAAAAGAUGGCCUCUAUUUAUAAGCUAUCGUAUCAGGAUGGGUCCGCGUACCAUUAGCUAGUUGGUGGUGUAAUGGACCACCAAGGCGACGAUGGUUAGCUGGUCUGAGAGGAUGAUCAGCCACACUGGAACUGAGACACGGUCCAGACUCCUACGGGAGGCAGCAGUGGGGAAUUUUGCGCAAUGGGGGAAACCCUGACGCAGCAACGCCGCGUGAGUGAUGAAGGCCUUCGGGUCGUAAAGCUCUGUCAGAGGGGAAGAAGUGAUAGUGUGCUAAUACCACAUUAUCUUGACGGUACCCUCAAAGGAAGCACCGGCUAACUCCGUGCCAGCAGCCGCGGUAAUACGGAGGGUGCAAGCGUUGUUCGGAUUUAUUGGGCGUAAAGCGCGUGUAGGCGGUCUUUUAAGUCUGAUGUGAAAGCCCCGGGCUCAACCCGGGAAGUGCAUUGGAAACUGGGAGACUUGAAUACGGGAGAGGGUAGUGGAAUUCCUAGUGUAGGAGUGAAAUCCGUAGAUAUUAGGAGGAACACCGGUGGCGAAGGCGGCUACCUGGACCGAUAUUGACGCUGAGACGCGAAAGCGUGGGGAGCAAACAGGAUUAGAUACCCUGGUAGUCCACGCCGUAAACGAUGAGUACUAGGUGUUGCGGGUAUUGACCCCUGCAGUGCCGCAGCUAACGCAUUAAGUACUCCGCCUGGGAAGUACGGUCGCAAGACUAAAACUUAAAGGAAUUGAUGG